UGUUAAGUGCGCCAAGGUCUCCC
RNAcentral lists this non-coding RNA (23 nucleotides) under Mus musculus (house mouse). Lineage: Eukaryota; Metazoa; Chordata; Mammalia; Rodentia; Muridae. The record is from RNAcentral.